Molecule: long non-coding RNA, 618 nt
Filed under: Vigna radiata
Lineage: Eukaryota; Viridiplantae; Streptophyta; Magnoliopsida; Fabales; Fabaceae
Description: long non-coding RNA (VRAD_LNC004693)
Source: RNAcentral
GAUCCAGAAUCUAUCAUAGCUCUUCCUAUAUCCACAUCAUUAAUAACACAUGGAAGAGUCAAACUCCUGGAUCCUUCAUUUUAGGUGGAUGAUGUCUCUUUCUACACUGUGCACGUACUUCCUGUUCUUCUUCUUCAUCUAGAUUUAUCACCUCUGCAAGAUAAUAUUUUAUUCUCUUGGAGUAAACAGGAAUUUGGGGAGGAGUUUCAAUCAUGGGAACAACAGUCACCUGGUUAAAAUCUCCCUAAAUGGCCAGUAAUGCCUUCUUCUUUUCUCAUUGUCAAAAUUUUUUUCAAACCUCUCCUCUCUUUCUACUUCCUCACUUCUCUUAAUCUCUAUAUUUUCACUCAUCUCCUCAUCUUCCUCCUCACUGUUUUCCACCUCAAUAACUUCCUCUUCCGCUUUUCUUUUGCUCCUUGUCACAACAACUUUGCAUUCCUCCUUAGGGUUAACAUCAGUAUUAGCCUUAAAUUGGUUCUUUUCUAUGGUCUCCACCCUCUUUGGCAGUUGACCAAUCUGCAUCUCCAAAGUUCUGAAAUUGGCCUGGUGGCUUCAAAAGUUAGUUAAGAUUGACUGACUGGGUCAACUGUCUUAAAUGUGUAUUGAUUUGGUUGAAUG